RNAcentral lists this ribosomal RNA (601 nucleotides) under Cellulomonas sp. E131. RNAcentral's name for it is "bacterial SSU rRNA". It matches the Rfam family "Bacterial small subunit ribosomal RNA", at positions 32 to 677 of the family's 1533-position model. Lineage: Bacteria; Bacillati; Actinomycetota; Actinomycetes; Micrococcales; Cellulomonadaceae. The record is from RNAcentral.
AACGCUGGCGGCGUGCUUAACACAUGCAAGUCGAACGGUGAUGGCCAGCUUGCUGGUCUGAUCAGUGGCGAACGGGUGAGUAACACGUGAGCAACCUACCCCAGACUCUGGAAUAACCAUGGGAAACGAUGGCUAAUACCGGAUACGAGACACACGCUGGGAUGGGCUCGCGGCCUAUCAGCUUGUUGGUGGGGUAGUGGCCUACCAAGGCGACGACGGGUAGCCGGCCUGAGAGGGCGACCGGCCACACUGGGACUGAGAUACGGCCCAGACUCCUACGGGAGGCAGCAGUGGGGAAUAUUGCACAAUGGGCGCAAGCCUGAUGCAGCGACGCCGCGUGAGGGAUGACGGCCUUCGGGUUGUAAACCUCUUUCAGCAGGGAAGAAGCGAAAGUGACGGUACCUGCAGAAGAAGCGCCGGCUAACUACGUGCCAGCAGCCGCGGUAAUACGUAGGGCGCAAGCGUUGUCCGGAAUUAUUGGGCGUAAAGAGCUCGUAGGCGGUUUGUCGCGUCUGCUGUGAAAACCUAAGGCUCAACCUUGGGCUUGCAGUGGGUACNGGCAGACUAAAGUGCGGUAGGGGUGACUGGAAUUCCUGGUGUA